Molecule: ribosomal RNA, 445 nt
Filed under: uncultured bacterium
Lineage: Bacteria
Description: bacterial SSU rRNA
Rfam family: Bacterial small subunit ribosomal RNA
Source: RNAcentral
GUGAGGAAUAUUGCGCAAUGGAGGCAACUCUGACGCAGCCAUGCCGCGUGCAGGAAGAAGGCGCUACGCGUUGUAAACUGCUUUUAACCGGGAAGAAACCCCAGGACGUGUCCUGGGUUGACGGUACCGGAGGAAUAAGCACCGGCUAACUUCGUGCCAGCAGCCGCGGUAAUACGAAGGGUGCAAGCGUUAUCCGGAUUCAUUGGGUUUAAAGGGUGCGUAGGCGGAGCGUUAAGUCAGUGGUGAAAUCCUGCAGCUUAACUGUAGACGUGCCAUUGAUACUGGCGCUCUUGAGUGCGCUUGAAGUGGGCGGAAUGUGCCGUGUAGCGGUGAAAUGCUUAGAUAUGGCACAGAACACCAAUUGCGAAGGCAGCUCACUAAGGCGAUACUGACGCUGAGGCACGAAAGCGUGGGGAUCGAACAGGAUUAGAAACCCUAGUAGUCC